This 1449-nucleotide ribosomal RNA is filed under the name uncultured Bordetella sp. Its description in RNAcentral is "partial 16S-23S ribosomal RNA intergenic spacer". It matches the Rfam family "Bacterial small subunit ribosomal RNA". Lineage: Bacteria; Pseudomonadati; Pseudomonadota; Betaproteobacteria; Burkholderiales; Alcaligenaceae. The record is from RNAcentral.
GGUUCGAUCCUGGCUCAGAUUGAACGCUGGCGGGAUGCUUUACACAUACCGUCAGAACUGGCGGCUGGACUUUUCUGAUCUGGUGGCGGUAGCGAACAGGUGAGUAAUGUAUCGGAACGUGCCUAGUAGCGGGGGAUAACUACCGCGAAAGCGUAGCUAAUGCCACCAUACGCCCUUCGAAGCGGGGACUGGGCUCGCACUGUCGACGGCCGAUAUCGGAUUGGCUAGUUGGUGAGGUAACGGCUCACCAAGGCGGCGAUCGCUAGCUGGUUUGAAGGACGAUAGCCACGCUGGGACUGAGACACGGCCCAGACUCCUACGGAAAUUGUGAUGGGAAUUUUGGACAAUGGAAACCUGAUCCGAGGCAUUCCGCGUCAUGCGAUGAAGGCCUUCGGACCUGUGACACACUUUUUGGCGGAAAAAAACGGCACCGUCGUAACCAGUACAAUGACGUCUUUGAAAUAACUUUCGGCUAACUACGUGCCAGCAGCCGCUGAUGACCGUAGGGUGCAAGCGUUAAUCGGAAUUACUGGAGGCAUAAAGCGUGCGCAGGCGGUUCGGAAAAGAAAAGAUGUGAAAUCCCGGAAGCACUUUGGGGCAUUUUUAACUACCGAAAACUAAGAAGUAUUCAGGAGGUGGAAUUCCGCGUGUAGCAGUGAAAUGCGUAGAUAUGCGGAGAACACCGGUGGCGAGGCACUCCUGGGAUAACACUGACGCUCAUGCGAAAGCGCGUGGGAGCAAGCAGGAUUGGAAUACCCUGAGCAGGUCCACGCCCUAAACGAUGUCAACUGACUGUUGGGGCCUUCAGGCCUUGGUGACACCAAUAACGUGAAGUUGACCGCCUGAAGUACGGUCGCAAGAUUAAAACUCAAAGGAAUUGACGGGGGACCCGCACAGCAGGUGGAUGAUGUGGAUUAAUUCGAUGCAACGCGAAAAACCUUACUACCCUUGACAUGUCUGGAAUCCCGAAGAGAUUUGGGAGUGCUCGCAAGGCGGAACACAGGUGCUGCGUGGCUGUCGUCAGCUCGUGUCGUGAGACUCCGUGCGGUUAAAUCCCGCAACGAGCGCAACCCUUGUCAUUGAAUUUACUACGAAAAGGGCACUCUAAUGAGACUGCCGGUGACAAACCGGAGGGUAGAGAUGGCGUGAGUCUGGCCCCUUAUGGGGCAGGGCUUCACACGUCAUACAAUGGUCGGGACAGAGGGGUCGCCAACCCGCGAAGAGGCAAUCGAAACCCGAUCGUAGUCCGGAUCGCAGUCUGCAACUCGACUGCGUGAAGUCGGAAUCGCUAGUAAUCGCGGAUCAGCAUGUCGCGGUGAAUACGUUCCCGGGUCUUAUACCUUCGCCGUCACGCCAGCAUGGGAGUGGGUUUUGCAAAGUGACAGCCUAACCGUAAAGGGCGAUUACCACAGUAGGAUUCAUGACUGGGGUGAAGUGUAACAAGGUAAC